AAGAACCUUGCGCUUUUGGAGCGGCCGAUGCCUGAUUAGCUAGUUGGUGGGGUAAUGGCCUACCAAAGCUUCGAUCAGUAGCUGGUCUGAGAGGACGGCCAGCCACACUGGGACUGAGACACGGCCCAGACUCCUACGGGAGGCAGCAGUGGGGAAUUUUGGACAAUGGGCGCAAGCCUGAUCCAGCCAUGCCGCGUGAGUGAAGAAGGCCUUCGGGUUGUAAAGCUCUUUCAGCCGGGAAGAAAAGGUUGCGAUUAAUAAUCGCAAUUUAUGACGGUACCGGAAGAAGAAGCACCGGCUAACUACGUGCCAGCAGCCGCGGUAAUACGUAGGGUGCGAGCGUUAAUCGGAAUUACUGGGCGUAAAGGGUGCGCAGGCGGUUUUGUAAGUCAGAUGUGAAAUCCCCGGGCUUAACCUGGGAACU
RNAcentral lists this ribosomal RNA (424 nucleotides) under uncultured bacterium. RNAcentral's name for it is "bacterial SSU rRNA". It matches the Rfam family "Bacterial small subunit ribosomal RNA", at positions 202 to 622 of the family's 1533-position model. The record is from RNAcentral.